RNAcentral lists this ribosomal RNA (250 nucleotides) under uncultured Staphylococcus sp. RNAcentral's name for it is "partial 16S ribosomal RNA". It matches the Rfam family "Bacterial small subunit ribosomal RNA", at positions 90 to 334 of the family's 1533-position model. The record is from RNAcentral. Lineage: Bacteria; Bacillati; Bacillota; Bacilli; Caryophanales; Staphylococcaceae.
CGUUAGCGGCGGACGGGUGAGUAACACGUGGGUAACCUACCUAUAAAACUGGGAUAACUCCGGGAAACCGGAGCUAAUACCGGAUAAUAUAUUGAACCGCAUGGUUCAAUAGUGAAAGACGGUUUUGCUGUCACUUAUAGAUGGAUCCGCGCCGCAUUAGCUAGUUGGUAAGGUAACGGCUUACCAAGGCAACGAUGCGUAGCCGACCUGAGAGGGUGAUCGGCCACACUGGAACUGAGACACGGUCCAG